Long non-coding RNA from Dama dama (fallow deer), 3361 nucleotides. RefSeq lists it as uncharacterized. The record is from RefSeq and is a predicted model, not a curated record. Lineage: Eukaryota; Metazoa; Chordata; Mammalia; Artiodactyla; Cervidae. The transcript is spliced from 10 exons.
UGAGAACGUUCGGCUACGCAGGGAGCUGCAAGGCGGGCUGAGCAUCCGCCGCCUCGUCCCACUCCCGGCAUCCGGGCUGGGAAUCUAACAGCAGCAGCAGCCGCCUGCCUGCAGGGGCCCGGCGCCCGAGCGGGGCAUCCUGAGGUUGGGCACCGUGGAGCGCCAUAUUGAAUGGAAGAAAGAUGGAAUGCCCUUGGUCUUCAGACAGUUUGGAAUGGUGAGCUUGAGGACAGUCCUGAAGGAACUGAAUCUGAACACUGGUAAACUGCUAACCCUGGCCAGGACUCCAUGGAUGAGGACCUAUUCCAGCAGGUGUUGGUCUGGACAUGAUCAGAGGCAUCCGAUAGAGGUGAUCUACUGGUGAUCGGUGUUUUCUACAUUGUCACUGCUGGCAGGAGAACCAACCACGAUACCAGGGAGUAGCCUCAGUGGAUUCCAGCUGAGACAGAGACCAUGUGGGUCAAAUCCCAGAGGGGAAUUGAAGUCGAAUUGGAUAAAAGGGAAGCCAGAAAGUUUCUGGAACUUGCUUCAGCAACCAUUUACAGAGUGCCCUGCACUCACUGAGAACACAGUGAUGAGGACUUGGGCCUCUCAGAGGAGAGGAGCUGUGGUGAUGAACAGGCCCAGGGCCACAGAAAAGAGAGGAGGGGCUGACUGAAGGGGUCAUGCAGGACAGGAUACUUGACCUGCUUUUGAGAGAUGGGCUCUUUAAACAAAGAAGUAAGGAAGAGUGUUUCAGCUAUGCUGAUAGAUGCCAGGGUUUGUACAGAAAAUAUCUGGGUAAGGCAUAUUUUGCAAAAUACAAAUAGGAUACAAAUAACCCCCCUUCAUCUUAAAACAUUGGCUAUUGGCACAUUAGAGAAGGCCUUAGACUGUGAGUUGCUCAAAAGCAUACCCCCUGGCGUAUUUUCCGUAUGCUCAACAAUAAGCAUCGAUCGCCUCCUGGCACAGAAUAAGUGCUCCAUUUAUGUUUAUGGAAGAAUCAGUCCAGCUCUGAAAUGUGUAUUCCUACGUCUUCUUUUGUGCAUGAAUGCAUAAUUGCUGAGUCGUGUCCAACUGUUUGUGAUCCUGUGGACUGUAACCCGCUAGGCUUCUCUGUCCGUGGAAUUCUCCAGUCAAGCAUACUGGAGUGGGUAGCCAUUUCCUUCUCCAGGGGAUCUUCCUGACCCAGGGUUUGAACCCAAGUCUCCGGCAUAGGCAAGUGAAUUCUUUACCACUGUGCCACCUGGGAAGCCCACAUCUUCUUUGAACAGUAAGCAAUGAGUAAUAGUAGAAUAAAAUAUCACUGUAGCUGGUAAUUCAAUGGCUAUCUUGGAGAUAAGGAUGAGAUUUUUAAUUGCUAAGACAGUUUACUCUGCUUGUAGUAGCCACAUUAUCUCUGUAUAAAUCAAGGUGGUUCUUCCAAGGUGAUGAAUGCUUUUGCUAAGUGAUCUACUCCCUCCUGGGCCCAGUGGAAGAAAGCAGUGGUUUUUAUUUUUGCGAGUGAGAAUUUUAAAAAUAAGAGAAGUUUGUAAGCUGUGGGUUCCCUGUGUGCCAAGCUCAGAAGGAGAGCAUAGGUUUCUGGUUUUUCACCUUCCCACAUGAAGAAAUCACAAAUAGGGACUCAGAGUCCAGAGAGUCCAGCAUCACGGACAUACCUGAGUUAACUCAUCCUCCGCCCACAGCCUAAGAAGGCACUUGCUUCUCAAAGCAACUGAACUGAGUCCCCAGAUCUGAAGAAUAAUCAUUGGUCACUUCUAGCCCACUAGUAAUCACUAGUGGGCUAGUCACUGUUAGUGUUCUACAAGAAUGAAAGAGUUAGCUGCUCAGUCGUGUCCGACUCUUUGUGACCCAGUGGACUGCAGCCUGCCAGGCUCCUCUGCCCAAGGGACUCUCCAGGCAAGAAUACUGCAGAAACCAUGGAUUUCCUGAACUCUUGUAUCUGCUUUGAGAUCAUGCUUUGUCAAGAGCCCACCCAUGCUGGGGAGAACUCACCAGGCUGAGGACCAGCUCCAACCAGGACUCUCCUGGCCCUGACACCUCUGCUGGAACACCUUGAGCAGAGGCGCGGAUCCUGCCUGGUGAAUAGCAUGAAAACUUGUCCUGUCUUUUCACCAUGAAGCUUCAAGAGCGGCCCUUUGAAGUGCAAAGAAGGAAGGACAGAUGUUCACCCCAGCAAAUGGGUUCCACCAGGAGGGAGGUGUGGGCAGGGCUGGGCGCAACAGAGCAGCCAGCCUGCAGCAGGUACCACCACGGCAGCAGGCCUUCCCCGAUGGGCUGAACAAGAGGAAACUGGCAAACACAACUGGGCUGUGUUUGAAGGCAUGAAGGGGAUGGCCUGGCUCCACGAGGCAUUUCCGCUGAGCACGAGAUCUGGAGGCAAACAGCUUUCCUGAUGCAACAGCACACAGACCCUGUUUCCACGGAACCUCAAGGCGGUUGACAUGGAACUGUUGUCAGAAUUGUCCUCUAAGUGGAAAACUGAAGCUGGAGCCCAUGGCUGCUGACAGCGUGGAUCCUGUAGCUAGGGAAUCUGCCCAUUGGUUCCUUUGCCUGGAAGAAAGAAAUGCAGUAGCAGGCAGACCUUCCCCACAAGCUGGUAAAUCAUGACCACGAUCACAUCUCAUGUCAGGACAGGAAUGUAAGGAAGCAUGAAAGAAAAUCCACCUUUCCUCUUAUUCUCCUUGUGCUUUGGAUUAUUGACACUUCCAUUCCGAAGCAGAUUCCGCACUUAGGGCUGCACUUAGGGCCACACUUAGUUGAAGAUGAACCUGAGUGAAGUUGAAGAAACAGACACACGCUGAGUCCUCAACCUGACAGCUGGCUGGUGGCGGUUCACGUUUCUGCUCUGCCGAAUGACACUUUCAACAAUGUCUUUGUUCCUCAACCUCCAUACCCUCCUUCACUAAUUUUGGCCAUCAUGUCUUUGAAAAAUGCCCUAUAAUAUUCCUCAUAAAUGUUUUAUACAUAUUUUAUUAGAUUGUUUCCAGUGCCUCACAUUUUGUUGUUAUUAAAGAAGAUAAGGUAGUGCUUUCUUUUAAAAGGUGAAGAAAAUUGUUAUUUAUUGGCCAUUGCUGGUAUUGAUUUUUAAAGUGAUUUUGUAUUCUAACAGCUUAAUUUCUAAUUGUUUUAGGUUGUCCAGGAUUUUUCUAACAUCUUAUCUAUGGCUUUUCACUUGUUACAUUUAUUUUCAAAGAUAUCUCUAUAGUAAUAGCAAUCAUUCACAUUUAUAGAGUUUUACUUAUUAGAUACUCUUCUGACAUUUUCUAGGUAUUCACUCUUCAGCCCCAUGGCAACUCUAUGGGGUAAAUAACAUUUUAUUCCUAUUUUAUUGCUGAAAGUUUGAUCAAAUACCAUUCAUGUAGUUAAGGAAAUUCUUGUA